This 549-nucleotide ribosomal RNA is filed under the name Triticum aestivum (bread wheat). Its description in RNAcentral is "partial small subunit ribosomal RNA". Lineage: Eukaryota; Viridiplantae; Streptophyta; Magnoliopsida; Poales; Poaceae. The record is from RNAcentral.
AUGGGGAAGGCAAUAACAUAUAAGCGUACUAGAAGAGCAGAGAAUGACGUAAUCAGGUAUGGGGCAUCAUCUAUGCAAGGGUGCCGUGAUGAAAUGGAAGCUACCUGGGCAUCUCACGUACAUCUACUAGAUUAUGCGCCCACAUUAUUUUUUGGUGUUUAUGAUGGCCAUGGAGGAGCGGAAGUAGCAUCUUAUUGUUCGAGGAAGUUUCAUGAAGAGCUUAAAAAGGAUCCAAGCUAUGUCCUCAAUCUGCCUGGCGCAUUGAAGAAUGUGUAUUCCAGCAUUGAUGAGAAGUUGCAAGAAUCGGAUGAAUGGAGGAGGGACUUGGCUUAUUCUCCUGACAUCAGAAAUUUGAUAAGGUGGCUAUGGACUGAUGUUUGUGGUGCUAACUGGCUCCCCAAGGGCACAUCGACCAAUUCCCUCCCUGAUGGCGGCACUCGCUGCUUCUUUCUUUAUAGCCUAAUUUUUCAUUCGGUUUUGACUCUUUUUCGUAGUGUAUCUCAGUUUGGAAUUUGUUCUUCAGGCACCUUAUCUGCCCCCUCUACAUGA